Molecule: long non-coding RNA, 331 nt
Filed under: Elaeis guineensis (African oil palm)
Lineage: Eukaryota; Viridiplantae; Streptophyta; Magnoliopsida; Arecales; Arecaceae
Description: long non-coding RNA (EGUI_LNC078240)
Source: RNAcentral
GUGGCGCAGGGAGAAUGGGUCAAGGUGGUUUCAUUAUUUAAACCAACCUAUUUGAACCAAAUAAGUUAGGCCCAAUUAGACUAAUUUAAACCCAACUUAAUUAGGCUUAAUUAGGCUCAAUAAAAUCUUAAUCAAAUUAGAAAUUGAUUAAGCCCAACCCCUGAUCAAAUCAGGGACCAAACCAUCUUGAUGAUUAGGUCAACUCUUAACCUAAUCGGGUCAAACCCAACUGAAUCCAAUUCAAUUGGACUUGAUCCAAAAAUAAUUACUCAAUCAAAUUGAGUUAAUUAGUAAUCAAAUCACUAAUUAAACAUCUCAUAAAUAUUGAGUC